GCAUGGACGAAGUCUGACGGAGCACGCCGCGUGAGUGAUGAAGGUUUUCGGAUCGUAAAACUCUGUUGUUAGGGAAGAACAAGUACAAGAGUACUGCUUGUACCUUGACGGUACCUAACCAGAAAGCCACGGCUAACUACCUGCCAGCAGCCGCGGUAAUACGUAGGUGGCAAGCGUUGUCCGGAAUUAUUGGGCGUAAAGCGCGCG
This 207-nucleotide ribosomal RNA is filed under the name uncultured bacterium. RNAcentral describes it as "partial 16S ribosomal RNA". It matches the Rfam family "Bacterial small subunit ribosomal RNA", at positions 368 to 571 of the family's 1533-position model. The record is from RNAcentral.